RNAcentral lists this ribosomal RNA (433 nucleotides) under uncultured bacterium. Its description in RNAcentral is "partial 16S ribosomal RNA". It matches the Rfam family "Bacterial small subunit ribosomal RNA", at positions 29 to 507 of the family's 1533-position model. The record is from RNAcentral.
AGCGAACGCUGGCGGCAGGCCUAACACAUGCAAGUCGAACGGAUCCUUCGGGAUUAGUGGCGGACGGGUGAGUAACACGUGGGAACGUGCCCUUUGGUUCGGAACAACUCAGGGAAACUUGAGCUAAUACCGGAUGUGCCCUUCGGGGGAAAGAUUUAUCGCCAUUGGAGCGGCCCGCGUCUGAUUAGCUAGUUGGUGAGGUAACGGCCCACCAAGGCGACGAUCAGUAGCUGGUCUGAGAGGAUGAUCAGCCACACUGGGACUGAGACACGGCCCAGACUGCUACGGGAGGCAGCAGUGGGGAAUCUUGCGCAAUGGGCGAAAGCCUGACGCAGCCAUGCCGCGUGAAUGAUGAAGGUCUUAGGAUUGUAAAAUUCUUUCAGCGGGGACGAUAAUGACGGUACCCGCAGAAGAAGCACCGGCUAACUUCGUG